This 5085-nucleotide long non-coding RNA is filed under the name Salmo trutta (river trout). RNAcentral's name for it is "lncRNA (ENSSTUG00000000507.1)". The record is from RNAcentral. Lineage: Eukaryota; Metazoa; Chordata; Actinopteri; Salmoniformes; Salmonidae.
GCAGGAGCAAUUUUACAGCAGCACAUGUCCAAUACAGCUUUGACUGCAGGAUUCAUAGACCGCUGAACUUGAACGGUUCAUACAUUACUUAACUCGCAGUCGCAUCACAGAUGUUGACAUGAUCAUGUUGACCAUCUAUCCCCAGGCCCCCAUCUCAUCUACACUGCAACACGUGCUCCUCCCUCUCGUAGUUCAGUUGUUAUGGCAACCAACAGUUUGCUAGUUGUUGUUAGCAGCUAUUUAACUUUCGCUAACUUAGUGUAGCUGACUGCUACUGCUUUCACAUAAGAGUGGUCUAUCUUGAUGAUUAUAGAUGCAUUAGUUUAUGUCAAUAUGGACACGGAUCCUUCAACGCGUUGGAAUGCUCUUUUUGACAGCUUCAAACCCCAUAUUCCGUCCAUUGAUUCGGAUUCUUCAUCAUCUGAAAAUGAAGAAGACAUAUCCAUCUUUCGCCGACCAGUAGCCCUUCUUCCUAAACACAUAGAGGGCCUAGAGUGUCUGUCAUUGGAGGACUCUGAAAUAGAGGAGCUUCUAAUAUCUAUGGCACAGCCACAACUGUGUUUGACAGAGGAAACCUUUUGCCCUCAUAGAGAGGCUAGAACUGAACCCCAUGGAGUUUAUCAAGCCACUGAUUUAGCCCAACAGGGCACACUCCAGGAGCUCAGUCCCAUAGGUAAUAAGGUAAAUGAGAUAUGCAGCCAUGACUCUAUUAGAAAUGCAGCUUGGGCAGGAGGCCAUCCAUGCAGCAACGUUCCUGUGGAGAUGAAAGGGGACACCUCAGCGCACCACAGCCAUGGCACACUAAACAGACAAAAAACAACUGAGUCCACAUCGCCACACCCUUCACAUAACACAGCUUGUGAAGAAAACACAUUGGAAUCACCCAAUGCUUUGAGAAAGACACAGAGAACUGAACCAAAUGGCUCUAUGAAAAAGCCACUACAAAAUAGUCAAACUGUUUUGUCUUUUGAGCCACUGGAGCACUGGGAUCUGGACCAGAUUCUUCUGACUCUUCAAACAAAUAGACUCUUUUUAGGAGGCAGUGUGUCUGACGAACCUAUGGAAAUACAACCAGAUGGAGACAAUGUAAGGUCACAGGAUACUAUAUUGGAGAGGCUGGCUGCUUUCUGUAGGACACAGUCAAGUGGAGAUGCUGAAGAGGAAAGAGAAACUGCGCCAGAUAAAACUUCUGGUGUGCCUCAGAAAGCACCUGUCCAACAUCCUACCAAUUUCAGACAAAAUGGUGGAUGGAGAAAGUCUUUCAAAAGGAUGGCAUUUGAGUUGCAGCCAAGCCGCCAGGAAGCGCCCACCGUUUAUAUUGAUUUACGUAACCCUGAGCCUCCCACGAACACAACCAGACCAUGUAACAGCACUUCAUCACAAACCAUGAAACUGACCAACCCCAACCUGCACGACGAAAACCAAUCUGAUGAGAAAACAGACAGUAAUAUACGGUCUGGUUUACUGAAUGGAAAAGAGGAAGUAACUGGAAAGAGCCUGUUACUCAGAAUGUUACGCGAGGCGAACAGAAACAGGAGAGAGGCGGACAGGAAAGAUCCAGUUCCAGCAGAUUCGACAUGCAGAACCCCCAGAAGAGUGGCCUUGAAGGACAAGCUGCCUGAGGCUAACAAUGAGAUAACAUCUCUGCUUCCAGAGGUGGACAACCAAACCACAUCUCCCACAAUGAAGCGUGACCAAAACAGGCCGCCAGUUGAGAGAACACCUGCUAUUCAGCAGAGUGCUACUACCGGGCAGCCAAAGAAACAAAGUGACCGAGAGCAGAGAGAGCAACAGAAACAGAGAGCACAGCGCCAGCAACAGCUCCAGAAACAGCUGGAAAGCUUUAGACCAACAAGGUCUGCCGGAGACAGGGAACCUGCCGCUGAGAAGACUGAUGUUCUUUAUGACGCUGAGGCCUCUCACCUACAGUCAGUUAAUACUCUGCCUGCUGAUAUGGAGGAUAAGGGGUGCUUGCUGCUGACUGUAUGCCUCUCCAGUCCAGGCCUGGUAGCCAGCAGCAGUCAUCAUUGGAAAGCACCAACAGUGGAGUCAGCCACAACCAAAUCCCAUAUAUACAAUGCUCUGGUUGCUUGGUUUCUGUCUUUGGUUGGAGCACCAGGCCCUCAAGGUAGUGAUGACAGGGCUGCUGUACCUUUUUGGGUGGCUGGCCUACAGCAGCUGUGGACAGAGGAUGGACUGGCUCUACACAUCUGUGCUGUGUCCCACGGAGAGAGCCUACAACUUGUCCAAAAACCCCGGAAACGGGGUGUGGAUAAGGGUCAUAGUGUGUUCCAGCAGCGUGUCUGCAGGUUCCUCUCUCAGACCUCCCUCAGAGCCAUCACCCAUUGGCUGCCGCAGCUCAGGAGCUUAUUAGACCAACAGGCCUAUCCCCCAACCGUCCACAUACCUGCCUCCUGCCUGGACAGCUUUAUCUCUGUCAACUCAGACACAAUGGCUGUGAAGAGGACCUUUGGUCUGAACCCAGGCUUCUAUUGGCAGACUGUUGAGACUCAGGAAGUCAGCUGUCAGAGGCCUGAGACCAUGUGCACUCAGCUGCUACACACAGAGGUAGCUGUUGCUCUGGGAUACACGUCUUUGUUCCUGCAUCCCUUGGUGGUUCACCACACCCUCCAGCUUCUCCACAACUCAGGCCUGGAUGUGUGUGGCCUCCGCCUCCUUUACCCUCCUGGCCUUCUGACCAACAGCGCCGGCAGGGUAUCCUACGGGGAGGGAGAUGAUGGGGCCGAUCAGCCCGUCCUUGCCCUGGCUGUCCGAGGGCCUCACGCCCGCACCGUGUGGCAGGAUGUAACAGGCCCUUCAGACCCCCUGCUGGCUAGGAAGACAGACCCGGCAUCCAUCAACGCCCUGCACUACAGCAGCAAGAACUUGCCGCUCUUCUAUUCCCCACGCCUGGCCAGCAGUGUGCACAGGGAACUGGUCACGUGGUUCGCAGGGAGAGUUCCAGGAAAUAAUUCCCAGAACCCUGACCAGGCUCCAACUGACAGCUCUGCCCCUGGUGGAGAGGGAAGCAGCCCCUUGUUUUUAACCAGGUCCUCUACCACCCUGUGUGCUACUGUUAAAGUGGACGUGUUCUUGAUAGUGUCUCCAGCGGUGGCGCCAUGCUGCUACAGCCAGGUUCUGUCUGUGUGUGAGGGCAGAGGGUUCAGUCUGAGGGGGGUCCAGAGGCUGCAGCUCCCCACCAAACGAACCCAGGCACUCGGACUCACCGGUCAGCAGGUGUCAGUGUUCUGCAGUCUGCCCACUGUUACUGUGGAUGAGAAGAAGGUUGAGCUGUCUUCCCACUGCCUGGUCUUACUUCUGAGGAGAGAGAGUGGCCUGCGUCACUGUGCCAGCCUGCCUGCAGCCCUUGUGAAAGAGUUGGAGAAGCAGAGGUUGUUGGGAUAUAUCCACAUCAGACUGUCAGAUGAAGGAAAGCUGGACCCAAGCAGCUGCUUUCACAUGUUGCCCUACAGAGAGAGCCUGCUCCAUAGCUUUGGUGGGCGAAUGUGGGCCGUACCCAACCCCUGCAAUGUGGUGCUGUCCAAACACAGGUGUCCAUCCAACCCAGAGCUGGAGCAGGUGGUGGUGCUUACGCUGGCUGGAAGGGACAUCAGUCAGGGCCUGAGCCUGCUAAACAGGCUCUGGACAGGGGACACAACAGGCAAUGUCGGGGAGGAUGGAUUUGAGCUGCUGGCCCUGAAGUGGCUGCCCACAUUGUCCCGGCAGCAGGCGCGGGAAGUGAGCCCCUACGAGGUAGGAGACCGGCUGUGGCAGAGCAGCCUGGUGGGCCUGGCCUCCUCCCCUGCCCUGGUGUGUGUCCUGAGGAGGGUGGACGCCUUCGCCACUCUACGGCGGCUCCUGCCACGGGACUACCCCGGGAAUCUGAACAUACUGUUGUCUCCCACUCCUGAACUGGCCUUCAGACAAGCAUCCCUCUUCUUCUCCCUGGGAGACAUGAUCCCUGAUCACAGUGUGCGCCCAUUACUGAAGUUCCUACCCCCACCUCGCAUUAAUGUAGCUGGUUCCCAUUGUGAGUCAUUGUUAAACUGCAUGGUGCAGGGCCCGCAGCCUCUGGUCACACUGUGUCUGUUCAAGCCUGGAGUGUGGAGCCAUGCUCUGGGGAAAAUCCUCAGCAAAGUCCAGCGGAGUGGCUUCACUGUGGUGGGCCUGCAUGUGCUGGUUCUGGACAAUAGCACAGCUGUGUCACUGGUGUCUGCUGCAGAGCAUCAGGACCCCUCUGCUGUAGAAGCCCAUGUCCAGUACUUGAGCUCUGGGCCUUCCCUGGCUCUGUGUCUGCAGAGGGAGAACGCUGUGAAGAGGCUAUUGGACGUGCUGGGACCUGAGGACCCUGCCCAGGCCCGCAGUCAGGACCAAUUCCUCUGGAGGGCCUAUUACAGCUCGGACCAGCUACACAGCGGCAUCUAUGGAUCAAGGAGCUAUCAGAGAGCUGUUCAGGAUGUGAAGAGGCUGUUCCCUCAGGGCCUAUGCUGCACAGAGACCAACACCAUGAGACAGGAGCAGAUACCCAGUGUACAUUCAGACCCUUUGGCUUGUCUGGCCCGUGAACAGAGCCACACUCUUGCUGCUGCGAACAAGCCAUCUUUAUCACACCUUAUGGCUUCUGGACUGAAUGGAGCAGGGCUCCUGGUCCGCAGUGCUCUCUGCCAAACCACCUGCCUGCUGCUGCCCAACAGUGUACUGGGCCCAGCCCCCAUCCACCUGGACCUACUUGAGCAGCUGCUGAGGACAGGCUGCCACCUGGUGGCCGGGAGGAUGACUGUCCUGGAUGAGACCCAGAGAUGUCACAUAGCUGAGACACUGAUGCUACCCUCUGAGAGGGAUGGGAAGAUUUGUGCUCUACCCGAGGGCCCUUGUCUUAUCGUUGUUCUACAGAAAGAUAACGUUGUGACCUGCUUUGACUCCAUGCUUGAAAGUAUUUACAGAGAGAGGUCUAACCUUGCCGAAGUGGGGAAAAUGCUGAUUUAUCCCAGCACUGAAAAAAAAGCAUUGCAGCUUCUGUGCUAUCUAUUUGAUGUCCUGUCUCCUGAUAGUCAUCAUGCCAUUGUACCACAGCAAUCUGAGUGA